GAAGCGGGUGAAGAAGAUUUCUUUUGCUCUUGCUUCUUUCGAAUGCGGGCAAGGAGUUCCUUUCGCUUUGUGCCAGCGAGAGGAUUUCACUUUUUCUGACGUGGCACACUACCUGCGGUCAGAGGACCCUUCUGGAAAUCCGAUUAAGAAGAAGAAGGGUGCGCAUCUGUACCGCGAGGCGGUCCUUCCACACUUGGCCGUGAGACUUCGCGGCGCUAAGCUGAUACGAGAAAGGAAGGUCCAAGAGACUGGCC
Molecule: long non-coding RNA, 254 nt
Filed under: Zostera marina
Lineage: Eukaryota; Viridiplantae; Streptophyta; Magnoliopsida; Alismatales; Zosteraceae
Description: long non-coding RNA (ZMAR_LNC001411)
Source: RNAcentral